This 73-nucleotide transfer RNA is filed under the name Blochmannia endosymbiont of Polyrhachis (Hedomyrma) turneri. RNAcentral describes it as "tRNA-Lys (CTT) (tRNA-Lys-CTT-1-1)". It matches the Rfam family "tRNA". From Rfam's summary of the family: Transfer RNA (tRNA) molecules are approximately 80 nucleotides in length. Their secondary structure includes four short double-helical elements and three loops (D, anti-codon, and T loops). Lineage: Bacteria; Pseudomonadati; Pseudomonadota; Gammaproteobacteria; Enterobacterales; Enterobacteriaceae. The record is from Rfam by way of RNAcentral.
GGGUCGUUAGCUCAGUAGGUAGAGCUGUUGACUCUUAAUCAACAGGCCGUAGGUUCGAUUCCUACACGACCCA